This is a non-coding RNA of Camellia sinensis, 1650 nucleotides long. NCBI's taxonomy places the organism in Eukaryota, Viridiplantae, Streptophyta, Magnoliopsida, Ericales, Theaceae. The record is from RefSeq and is a predicted model, not a curated record.
AGAAAAUCGUGUGACACACAGUUACUGCCACUACUAGAAAAUUGGCUUUUUGCGACUAUUUUUUUGCGACUGCUUGUUUGGCCGUCGCAAAAGAAAAAAAAAAGCUCCAAUUUAUAUUUAACCUUUAUUUUUCCUAUUUUCUUUAUUUAUUUGCUUUUGCCCUAGCUUGGCUCGCUCAACCUCUCUCUCUCGCUCUCGCUCACCGUUGGUUUGAGAAAAUCAUCGUAAAACUUUGUGGCUAUUGCUAGUGGUGAUGCCUCUGAGGCCUUUAUACAAGCAUUACAAGAGAAGAAAAUACACAAUUGGAAUAGGUUGUCUGCCAUGGCUGUUGAACAGAUUGUAAUGACAGAGUGAUCCAUUCUACAGGUAUCAUAUGAGUGGGGCUGAAACUCAUGGUGGAAGCCUUCCAUGAACCAAAGAAUAAAAAAAAGAGUUCAAGGUUCCACUACUUCCACCGAGUAAAUGGAAUUAGGACUCCCUACAUUUGUCAAUUGCCUUUUAAUCACCUUACUCAGCUUCCCGGGCUUGAACAUUACUAAAAUCGAAGGAUAAUUGAGGCUAAAACCCUUGUUCUCCAGCAAAGUCUCAUGGCAACUCACAUUGCUGUGAGUAAUUGUGAAAAUUUCUGAUUUUGUGUAUCCCAGGGUGCACAGAUGAGUGAUAUACUUAUCUGGCCUGAUAUCAUAUACCAGUCUUGGAUUGAUGGCUCUCUCGGGGUUUACAUGUCCAACUCCAGUUGCAUAUUUGGGAUCAUUUGACGAGUAUUGAUUGUUUUAAAAUUCAGUAGCUACAUUAUGUAUACAUAUUUACUAAUAAUGCUCAAUUGUCACCAGCUUGUAAAUGCAAUUAUGAGUAGAAGAGAUGUUUUUGUUAUUAUGGUUGCUGGUGGAAGGAAAAGUCUCUGCUACCAGCUUCCAGCUAUUCUUCUUGAUGGAGUUGCUCUUGUUGUCAGUCCUUUACUUUCUCUUUUUCAGGAUUAGGUGAUGGGGUUGGCUGCUUUGGGCAUCCCUGCAUUCAAGUUGACCUUAACAACUGCUAAAGAAUAUGAAAAGUUCAUAAACAAAGCCCUUGAAAAGGGUGAAGGAGAACUUAAAAUUUUGUAUGUCACUCCGGGGAAAAUAUCAAAGAGCAAGAGGUUUAUGUCACUUGAGAAGUGCCAUCAUGCUGGUCAUCUGUCUCUAAUUUCAAUUGAUGUAUGUGCUAACAUCUUUUUUGUGCUUUGGCCACAUGUGAUAGAUUGUUGUUGUCAAUCUUUUUUGAAACUGCUUAUGUUAUCAGACUGCACCGUGUUGCAAGGCUUACACCCUCCCAACCUGUCUUUACGUUUACUCAUCUAGAGUCUUAAUUACAAGAAGCAAUCAGGGAUAUAUGAAGCUUCAAUUUGAGAUGCCCAAUGACACUGGAUCAGCCUUGGUUCAUGGUGCAAGCUUGGAUUUGAGGAACAUAUAUCUCCAUUGCAACAAAUUGGAACUCGACCGAUACCUUGUACAGUGGUGAACACCAACAUUGUAGAUUUUGUUUUACUAGCUUUCUAUCUGGAUUGUAUUUUUUUCAUAAAAGAACUUUUCCCAAGUUUUUAGUUGUAAUAACUUUCAUAUAUGGCUCCAAUUUUAAGGCUCAAAUGGAAUGCCUGAUUAAAUUACAAUAUUA